RNAcentral lists this ribosomal RNA (546 nucleotides) under Fusarium equiseti. Its description in RNAcentral is "eukaryotic LSU rRNA". The stretch from base 179 to 332 matches the Rfam family "5.8S ribosomal RNA". The record is from RNAcentral. Lineage: Eukaryota; Fungi; Ascomycota; Sordariomycetes; Hypocreales; Nectriaceae.
CCGUAGGUGAACCUGCGGAGGGAUCAUUACCGAGUUUACAACUCCCAAACCCCUGUGAACAUACCUAUACGUUGCCUCGGCGGAUCAGCCCGCGCCCCGUAACAAGGGACGGCCCGCCCGAGGACCCCUAAACUCUGUUUUUAGUGGAACUUCUGAGUAAAACAAACAAAUAAAUCAAAACUUUCAACAACGGAUCUCUUGGUUCUGGCAUCGAUGAAGAACGCAGCAAAAUGCGAUAAGUAAUGUGAAUUGCAGAAUUCAGUGAAUCAUCGAAUCUUUGAACGCACAUUGCGCCCGCCAGUAUUCUGGCGGGCAUGCCUGUUCGAGCGUCAUUUCAACCCUCAAGCUCAGCUUGGUGUUGGGACUCGCGGUAACCCGCGUUCCCCAAAUCGAUUGGCGGUCACGUCGAGCUUCCAUAGCGUAGUAAUCAUACACCUCGUUACUGGUAAUCGUCGCGGCCACGCCGUAAAACCCCAACUUCUGAAUGUUGACCUCGGAUCAGGUAGGAAUACCCGCUGAACUUAAGCAUAUCAAUAAGCGGAGGAA